GGUACCAUAGCUCAGUUGGUAGAGCAAAGGACUGAAAAUCCUUGUGUCAGUGGUUCGACUCCACUUGGUACCA
This 73-nucleotide transfer RNA is filed under the name Tannerella sp. RNAcentral's name for it is "tRNA-Phe". It matches the Rfam family "tRNA". From Rfam's summary of the family: Transfer RNA (tRNA) molecules are approximately 80 nucleotides in length. Their secondary structure includes four short double-helical elements and three loops (D, anti-codon, and T loops). The record is from RNAcentral. Lineage: Bacteria; Pseudomonadati; Bacteroidota; Bacteroidia; Bacteroidales; Tannerellaceae.